GAUUGUCACUGGGACUACAUCCAGCUACCUGUGAGGGAUCUCCAGGAAGCCUGACACAAGAACUUUUGCAUUAGUGAAAAUGAAGUGCUCUGUUGAAGGCAUUACUUUCAGGAGACUGAAGGGAAAGGAGGGAUUCAAUGUCAUUUCACUUCCUGAAGCACAGUCUGGAGAGCGCACCUGAAGAACUGCAAGUGUUAGAUGCUCCCACAGAGCAAAGGCAUACGCCACUGGAAAAG
RNAcentral lists this long non-coding RNA (236 nucleotides) under Gallus gallus (chicken). The record is from RNAcentral. Lineage: Eukaryota; Metazoa; Chordata; Aves; Galliformes; Phasianidae.